Molecule: long non-coding RNA, 1002 nt
Organism: Leopardus geoffroyi (Geoffroy's cat)
Lineage: Eukaryota; Metazoa; Chordata; Mammalia; Carnivora; Felidae
Exons: 3
Source: RefSeq, a predicted model, not a curated record
CGCAGGGCUCGAUCCCACGUAUCAUGAGAUAGCAUCCCGAGCCAAAAUCAAUAGUCUGCCACUUAACCAACCGAGCCACCCAGGCACCCUAGUGCAUUGAUUUUAACACAGAACUAAUUCACUCCUUGUUCACAGAUUGGAGGACAACAGCCUUGAAUUGAACACUAAAGGAGUUUCCCUCGUUUUGGUUUUGUUUUAAUAUUGAAAUACUGCUGACAGAGGCUUCAGCCAGGAUAUCCAGUACCAAAGCCUGGCCUGGGCUUCCCAUGCAGCACAGAGAAGAGCCACGGGUGAAGGGACUGCAGAAUUUCAAAGAAAUGAGACAAGGGUUUGACUUCAAGAUGAGGUUUUAAGAUCAGGAGAGAAGAUAAAGAAGCUUCUUCAAAGCAGAAAAAAACCUGGAAACUCUGCAUCCACUCACUGUAACUUUAGGGGGGAAUGCUCUCCAAGGGUCUACUUUACAAAAAAGACUAAAAACCUUUAGAAAACCGAUGUGGAAAUCCUAAGACUUAGCAGAACUUAUAGAGCAUCCAACCACUCUAUAGGAAGAAAGCCCUGAGAACUCCAACCAGGAAGAACCUCUCAACAUUAGAUUCUCUAAGCACCAGGGGACUCAUUCAGGAAAAGAACCUCACCGGUGCCUCGGCUGUGGGCAAAGCCCCCUUCGUUCAGACUUUUGUAAACACUAAUAUCUCCCAUCAGAGGAGAGAUCCCGUGAAUGCACUACAUCUUAUGGAAAGCAGUGUGACUGUGUUUUAAGAAUAUUAAAAUUUGAGGGGCGCCUGGGUGGCGCAGUCGGUUAAGCGUCCGACUUCAGCCAGGUCACGAUCUCGCGGUCCGUGAGUUCGAGCCCCGCGUCGGGCUCUGGGCUGAUGGCUCAGAGCCUGGAGUCUGUUUCCGAUUCUGUGUCUCCCUCUCUCUCUGCCCCUCCCCCGUUCAUGCUCUGUCUCUCUCUGUCCCAAAAAUAAAUAAAAUGUUGAAAAAAAACAUUUAAAAAAAAAA